This is a non-coding RNA of Dipodomys ordii (Ord's kangaroo rat), 69 nucleotides long. NCBI's taxonomy places the organism in Eukaryota, Metazoa, Chordata, Mammalia, Rodentia, Heteromyidae. The record is from Rfam.
GGGAAUAUGGCUUAGUGGCAGAGUGCUUGCCUAAUAUGCAUGAAGUCUGGGUUCGAUUCCUCAGUACCA